UACAGAGGGUGCGAGCGUUGUCCGGAAUCACUGGGCGUAAAGGGCGCGUAGGUGGCGACCCAAGUCGAUGGUGAAAGCUCGCCGCUCAACGGCGAGUCGGCCACCGAUACUGGGUUGCUGGAGCACUGUAGAGGCAGAUGGAAUUCCGGGUGUAGCGGUGGAAUGCGUAGAGAUCCGGAAGAACACCGGUGGCGAAGGCGGUCUGCUGGGCAGUUGC
This 217-nucleotide ribosomal RNA is filed under the name uncultured bacterium. RNAcentral describes it as "partial 16S ribosomal RNA". It matches the Rfam family "Bacterial small subunit ribosomal RNA", at positions 524 to 740 of the family's 1533-position model. The record is from RNAcentral.